GAUGAACGCUGGCGGCGUGCCUAAUACAUGCAAGUCGAGCGAACAGACGAGGAGCUUGCUCCUCUGACGUUAGCGGCGGACGGGUGAGUAACACGUGGAUAACCUACCUAUAAGACUGGGAUAACUUCGGGAAACCGGAGCUAAUACCAGAUAAUAUAUUGAACCGCAUGGUUCAAUAGUGAAAGACGGUUUUGCUGUCACUUAUAGAUGGUUCCGCGCCGCAUUAGCUAGUUGGUAAGGUAACGGCUUACCAAGGCAACGAUGCGUAGCCGACCUGAGAGAGUGAUCGGCCACACUGGAACUGAGACACGGUCCAGACUCCUACGGGAGGCAGCAGUAGGGAAUCUUCCGCAAUGGGCGAGAGCCUGACGGAGCAACGCCGCGUGAGUGAUGAAGGUCUUCGGAUCGUAAAACUCUGUUAUUAGGGAAGAACAAAUGUGUAAGUAACUAUGCACGUCUUGACGGUACCUAAUCAGAAAGCCACGGCUAACUACGUG
Molecule: ribosomal RNA, 497 nt
Filed under: uncultured bacterium
Lineage: Bacteria
Description: partial 16S ribosomal RNA
Rfam family: Bacterial small subunit ribosomal RNA
Source: RNAcentral